This 253-nucleotide ribosomal RNA is filed under the name uncultured prokaryote. RNAcentral's name for it is "partial 16S ribosomal RNA". It matches the Rfam family "Bacterial small subunit ribosomal RNA", at positions 524 to 776 of the family's 1533-position model. The record is from RNAcentral.
UACGUAGGUGGCAAGCGUUGUUCGGAAUUAUUGGGCGUAAAGGGCGCGUAGGCGGUUUGUUAAGUCAGCUGUGAAAGCCCGGGGCUCAACCCCGGAGGGUCGACUGAUACUGGCAAGCUAGAGUACGGAAGAGGUAGCUGGAAUUCCCGGUGUAGCGGUGAAAUGCGUAGAUAUCGAGAGGAACACCUGCGGCGAAGGCGGGUUGCUGGGCCGACACUGACGCUGAUGCGCGAAAGCCAGGGGAGCGAACGGG